GAACAAAUCAUUCUCACAGAACACAAUAAUAACAGUUAAUUAAGUCAACUACAUUAAGAUGGUGAUGGGCGACGAUUUCCACUACUAAUUCCUUUCAGUAACUUGAAGGUAAAAUAAAAUCCAUAGCUAAUUACACAAUGUAAACAAAUGAGCUAGUCCACAUUACGUCUUAGGCACAGUCCAAUAGAAGUGUCAGGCAAUUCAUAUAAAUUACAAUCCAAAUUCAAUAAAGCUAAGCCACUACAAACCAUAAAGCAUUGAGCAUAGUAAUUAAACUUCAUGAUAAUGAGAAAUCAGUAGAAAUUCCAUCAGGCCUCAAAUUGCCAUGGCAUUUUUCAUUUCAUCAAAGAGAUUACAACUUCGAAUGUGUACCCGAAAUCUGGGCAGAAGUAAAAUAGAGGAGAGUCGGUCGAAUCAAUGCACGAACAACAGUAGCAGUAGGACAAUUUUCAGCAGUUUUGAACACCAACAGCUCAGAAAUGCUACGUAAUCUAAAAAUAAAUAGUGAAUCUACCAAAACAUCAUCCAAAUUGAACCAAAGAUGAAACGAACACCAAUUAAAACUUUCAGCAAUCCAAAACACACUCAGUUGAACUCGAAUAUUCCAAGAACAGACUUAGUAAGCUACAGAAUAGUUUCAACAGAAGAAUAGAUGAAAUUCACUGCCUAGCACUCACACCUCAACUGGAAAUGCAAUGGAACAGUUCAUUUUUUGGGGUUUUGACUGUUUUUUUUUUUUUUUUCUUGAAGAAGUUGAGAUCUAAAGAAAUUUCAGAUCUGAAAUGUGAAUUUUAGAUCUAAAAGCUUGGGGAUUACUUUGGGGAAGAUUUUAGGCUACCAAACUUGAUUAAUAAGGCACUGGGGCAGCUUUAAAUAGGUAAAGAUGGGCAGCCCUCAGAUUUUCAGUUUGCACUCCAUUCCCUGAUUAUUUACAGCUUUGGUCCCUUAGUUUUUAACUUGUUCCCCAAGUGAGUCUACUAAUUCCCUGAAAUUACAACUAAAUAGCUACUUUAGAAGGUUCUUGCAUAUUCUACCAAAUUCUACCCCAUCCCAAUUACCUAAACCACCCCUGUAUUUAAACUAGAUUCACAACUGUAACCAAAUAGAUCGCUAGCUCUAAUUUACCAAUUAUUGAAGAACAGUAUUAACAAUUCAUCGAACAACCAUCACAAAUUCAAUAUGAAAUCAGAUUGUAUCAUCUUAAUCAAUCAAAACACAAUUAGACUAAUUAAUGAACUGUUCUUGACAACUAAACCAGAAUGAAAUAGCUAACUAACUGAAACGAGAAUUAAUCCUAACAACAUCAAUCGCCUUAGAGAAACAGAAUGCUCAAAUUUAAACUAAACUAAACGCUAAACAAGAAUUAACUAAUGACGAACUAACAACUAACAGGUUUCGAAAAACAAUCCAAAUAGUAACAAUUUAGCUAUUACCUCGAAAUAGAUAACAUUGAAUUCAAUCCAUUAAUGACACGACGAACACAUGGAGAAGAAAACAAUACGAAUUAAUAAGAAAAAAAAAACAAAAGAAAAACUCUAAGAAACUCACUGGCGACUCUCUGGAUUCAACUUGACUGCCUUCAAUGAAGUUCGAGGCUGACGACAUCGAAUUCGUCGCGAGGGAGGCAAAGAGACUCUGGUGUAUUCAUUAGAAAUCAAUGGAACGAAUUAGGGUGGUUUUGACCGGUUUUGGGUUUGAUAUUCAAGGGGCUCAGUCAUGUUUUGAAGGAAGUUAUUUGUAGAUUGGUGAUGAGGAGAUGGAGGAGUUUUUAUGGUGUGAAUUAGAAUCGAGUUGGGCAGUGUCGCAGCCGUGGACGGCGGAGACGGCGACAAUUCUUUCCACUAUUCGACGACCACCAAUGUCAUUUGAAAGAUGACAAUGGCAGAUUCAUGACGGGGAUGAUGAGGCGGUAUAGGGGUGUAAAUUUGGGAGCCACCGGAGAUGGUGGAGAUUUCUCCGGCGGCAGAGACGGUGGCGUUACAGAGUUUGUACGAGGAGGGGAGUUAUGGUCGUGUUAGGGCUAAAGAGAUUCAGACACCUUUAUGAGAAAUGGGG
This 2055-nucleotide long non-coding RNA is filed under the name Nicotiana benthamiana. Its description in RNAcentral is "long non-coding RNA (NBEN_LNC034418)". The record is from RNAcentral. Lineage: Eukaryota; Viridiplantae; Streptophyta; Magnoliopsida; Solanales; Solanaceae.